GCUUACGGCCAUACCACCCUGAGCACGCCCCAUCUCGUCUGAUCUCGGAAGCUAAGCAGUGUCGGGCCUGGUUAGUACUUGGAUGGGAGACCGCCUAGGAAUACCAGGUGCUGUCAGCU
This 119-nucleotide ribosomal RNA is filed under the name Betta splendens (Siamese fighting fish). Lineage: Eukaryota; Metazoa; Chordata; Actinopteri; Anabantiformes; Osphronemidae. The record is from RNAcentral.